CGUAGCUCAGUGGUAGAGCAAUCGGCUGUUAACCGAUCGGUCGUAGGUUCGAGCCCUACCG
RNAcentral lists this transfer RNA (61 nucleotides) under pig gut metagenome. It matches the Rfam family "tRNA", at positions 6 to 65 of the family's 71-position model. From Rfam's summary of the family: Transfer RNA (tRNA) molecules are approximately 80 nucleotides in length. Their secondary structure includes four short double-helical elements and three loops (D, anti-codon, and T loops). Further hydrogen bonds mediate the characteristic L-shaped molecular structure. tRNAs have two regions of fundamental functional importance: the anti-codon, which is responsible for specific mRNA codon recognition, and the 3' end, to which the tRNAs corresponding amino acid is attached (by aminoacyl-tRNA synthetases). tRNAs cope with the degeneracy of the genetic code in two manners: having more than one tRNA (with a specific anti-codon) for a particular amino acid; and 'wobble' base-pairing, i.e. permitting non-standard base-pairing at the 3rd anti-codon position. The record is from RNAcentral.